RNA transcript from Crotalus tigris (Tiger rattlesnake), 5828 nucleotides. It is a transcript of the gene named PTPRF interacting protein alpha 2, with no coding region annotated. NCBI's taxonomy places the organism in Eukaryota, Metazoa, Chordata, Lepidosauria, Squamata, Viperidae. The transcript is spliced from 35 exons. The record is from RefSeq and is a predicted model, not a curated record.
GGUCUCAACCGAGCUCUGCUUCCCAAAGCAAAAAUUGUAAUAUGCCAUUUUUUUCUCAUGGACGUUUCCCCUUUGCUGCUGCCAACGAAGUGACAGGAGAAAAUGCUGAGGUGCCGCCAAACUGCUCCUGCUGCCGGCCGAAGGGGGCUGGGUGGGCUUCCGGCGUCUUCUCGGAGCAGGAGUGGCGGCGUCUGCAGUAGCCUUGCGAGGGAGGCGAGUUGAACAGCGCCCAGCUGUGGGUGAAUGAGCGCCCAUCGGAGGCAAAGAGGGAGAGACCGAAGCGGCCGUUGGCACCGAUUCCCUGAAGACCCGGGAAGGAGAACGAGCUUUAGAAAUGAUGUGCGAAGUGAUGCCUACGAUAAAUGAGGACACCCCAAUGAGUCAAAGGGGGUCCCAGAGCAGUGGAUCGGACUCCGAUUCUCAUUUUGAACAGCUAAUGGUAAAUAUGCUGGAUGAAAGAGAUCGUCUUCUCGACACUCUUCGGGAGACACAAGAAAGUUUAUCUCUGGCACAGCAACGACUUCAAGAUGUAAUUUACGACAGAGAUUCUCUGCAACGACAACUGAAUUCUGCACUACCCCAGAUGACGGUUGCGGCUGGUACGAGCAUUGAGAAUAACAUUCAAAGGACCAUAUCCUGCCCUAAUGAAUUUGCUGCACUUACAAAAGAACUAAAUGCAUGCAGGGAACAACUACUGGAAAAAGAAGAAGAAAUUUCAGAAUUGAAAGCUGAAAGGAAUAAUACAAGACUGUUACUGGAACAUUUGGAGUGCCUUGUUUCAAGACAUGAAAGGUCACUGAGAAUGACAGUGGUGAAACGCCAAGCACAGUCUCCCUCAGGAGUUUCCAGUGAAGUUGAAGUUCUGAAAGCAUUGAAAUCUUUGUUUGAGCACCAUAAGGCUUUAGAUGAAAAGGUAAGGGAACGACUAAGGGUUUCCUUAGAAAGAGUCUCAGCGCUUGAAGAGGAACUAGCAGCUGCUAAUCAGGAGAUUAUAGCUUUGCGUGAACAAAAUGCACACAUUCAAAGAAAAAUUACAUCCGGAGAGGGUCCACCUGAUACAGAGCAUAUCAAAGGAAUGGAGCCUGGACAAAAAAUUCAUGAAAAGCGUCUGUCAAAUGGCUCUAUAGACUCAAAUGAUGAGACUGCUCAGUUGGUAGAACUGCAAGAACUUCUCGAAAAGCAAAAUUAUGAAAUGGCACAGAUGAAGGAUCGCUUGGCUGCACUGUCUUCCAGAGUUGGAGAGGUGGAGCAAGAUGCAGAAACUGCUAGGAAGGACCUCAUUAAAACUGAAGAACUGAACAGCAAAUAUCAGAGAGAUAUUAGAGAGGCUAUGGCCCAGAAAGAAGAUAUGGAAGAAAGAAUAACUACCCUGGAGAAACGUUACCUAAGUGCACAGAGGGAAUCUACUUCCAUACAUGACAUGAAUGACAAAUUGGAAAAUGAACUGGCAAACAAAGAAGCCAUCCUACGUCAGAUGGAGGAAAAAAACAGGCAGCUGCAAGAACGUCUCGAGCUAGCUGAGCAAAAGCUACAACAAACAAUGAGAAAAGCUGAGACUUUACCAGAAGUGGAGGCAGAAUUGGCCCAGAGAAUUGCAGCACUGACUAAGUCUGAUCCAACCUCUUCUACCUCAUCUGAUGAUUAUCAAUAUGUUAUGGAAGCUAAACUACAAGAAAUGAUCUCCAUACGUAGGAAGGCAGAAGAAAGACAUGGCAAUAUUGAAGAACGCAUGCGGCACCUAGAGGCUCAGUUGGAAGAGAAGAAUCAAGAACUUCAAAGGGCAAGACAAAGAGAAAAAAUGAAUGAAGAGCACAACAAAAGAUUGUCUGAUACAGUGGACAGACUUUUGACAGAAUCUAAUGAACGUUUGCAACUGCAUUUGAAAGAGAGAAUGGCAGCUUUGGAAGAGAAGAAUGUUUUAAUAGAAGAAUCAGAAAACUUCAGAAAGAAUUUGGAAGAAUCUCUGCAUGAUAAGGAAAGAUUAGCAGAAGAGAUAGACAAGCUGAGAGCUGAACUUGACCAGUUGAAAAUACGAGCAGGGUCUUUAAUGGAGCCCACAUUGUCAAGAACACAUCUUGACUCAUCAGCAGAACUGAGGUACUCUGUGGGCUCACUAGUUGAUAGUCAACCAGAUUAUAGGUCUACUAAAGUGAUAAGAAGACCUAGAAGAGGUCGUAUGGGAAUCCGAAGAGAUGAACCAAAGGUAAAAUCCUUUGGAGAUCACGAGUGGAAUAGAAACCAGCCAGUUGGAAUUCUAAGCAGCCAUCAUUUUGAGAGUGACACUGAAAUGUCUGAUAUAGAUGAUGAUGAUAGAGAUACAAUUUUCAGUUCAAUGGAUCUUUUGUCACCAAGUGGACAUUCAGAUGCUCAGACCCUUGCUAUGAUGCUUCAGGAACAACUAGAUGCAAUCAAUAAAGAAAUCAGGUUAAUCCAGGAAGAAAAAGAAUCCACAGAACUGCGUGCUGAAGAAAUAGAAAACAGAGUUGCUAGUGUGAGUCUAGAAGGCUUAAAUCUGGCCAGGGUUCAUCCUGGAACAUCUAUUACUGGCUCAAUAACUGCAUCUUCAUUAGCAAGCUCCUCUCCUCCCAGUGGCCACUCAACUCCUAAACUCACUCCACGCAGCCCAGCUAGGGAGAUGGACCGGAUGGGGAUCAUGACACUGCCAAGUGAUCUCAGGAAACAUCGAAGAAAGAUUGCAAUAGUUGAAGAAGAUGGACAUGAAGACAAGGCCACAAUAAAAUGUGAAACCUCUCCUCCACCAACCCCUAGAGCCAUUAGAAUGACUCACACUCUACCUUCUUCAUACCACAAUGAUGCCAGAAGUAGUUUGACUGCAUCCUUGGAACCAGAAAGUAUUGGCUUUGGCAGUGUCAAUAGCAGCCAGGAUUCCUUGCACAAAGCUCCCAAGAAGAAAGGAAUAAAGUCUUCAAUUGGGCGCUUGUUUGGUAAAAAAGAGAAGGCACGACUUGGACAGCUAAGAGGCUAUAUGGAAACCGACGCUGCAGCACAGGAAUCUCUGGGAUUAAGCAAACUUGGAACCCAGGCAGAAAAAGACCGAAGACUAAAGAAAAACACAUCAGGGCAUGAACUUCUGGAGGAAGCUCGGAGGAAGGGAUUACCCUUUGCACAGUGGGAUGGGCCAACAGUAGUUGCCUGGCUAGAGCUGUGGCUGGGAAUGCCUGCAUGGUAUGUUGCUGCUUGCCGUGCAAAUGUGAAAAGUGGUGCCAUCAUGUCUGCACUGUCAGAUACUGAAAUUCAGAGAGAAAUUGGAAUCAGCAAUCCUCUCCAUCGCCUGAAGCUCCGUCUGGCAAUUCAAGAGAUGGUGUCACUCACAAGCCCAUCAGCCCCUCCAACUUCUAGAACGCCCUCAGGCAACGUCUGGGUAACCCAUGAAGAAAUGGAAAACCUUGCAGCUCCAACCAAAACGAAGGACAGUGAGGAAGGCAGCUGGGCUCAGACCCUGGCUUAUGGUGAUAUGAACCAUGAAUGGAUUGGUAAUGAAUGGCUUCCCAGUCUAGGGUUACCACAGUACCGAAGUUACUUCAUGGAAUGUUUGGUGGAUGCAAGGAUGUUAGAUCAUCUAACAAAAAAAGAUCUCCGUGUACAUUUAAAAAUGGUGGAUAGUUUUCAUCGAACAAGUCUGCAAUAUGGAAUCAUGUGUUUAAAGAAACUGAAUUAUGAUAGAAAAGAAUUAGAAAGGAGAAGGGAAGCAAGUCAGCAUGAAAUAAAAGAUGUGUUGGCGUGGAGCAAUGACAGAGUUAUACGCUGGAUACAAGCAAUUGGAUUACGAGAUUAUGCAAACAAUGUGUUAGAAAGUGGUGUGCAUGGGUCACUCAUAGCCUUAGAUGAUAACUUUGAUUAUAGCAGUUUAGCCUUAUUGUUGCAGAUUCCAACACAGAAUACCCAGGCACGGCAGAUUCUCGAGAGGGAAUACAACAAUUUAUUGGCACUAGGAACAGAUAGACGCCUUGAUGAAAGCGAUGACAAGAAUUUUAGGCGUGGCUCUUCCUGGCGAAGACAAUUUCCUCCACGUGAAGUUCAUGGAAUCAGCAUGAUGCCUGGCUCUUCAGAAACACUGCCAGCUGGAUUUAGGUUAACUACAACAUCAGGACAGUCACGAAAAAUGGCAACUGAUGUUGCUUCAGCUCGGUUGCAGAGGUUAGACAGUUCUACAGUUCGCACAUAUUCCUGUUGACAUAUCUAGCAUGAAAAAGAGCUCCGAACUGAAGAUAUGUUGAACAUAUGACAGCCAAGGGAGAAAAUAUAAAUCACAGAUUUUUUAUAAAAAUAAUCACUUCUGAAAAUAUGCCACCUCUUCUAUUUUACCUGAAGUGCACUACCACCAUCUUAAGAAGCUUUUUAUUCCAAGUACAGGGUAAUAGGGAAGAAAAUAUAAAUGUUUAUCAAACUAAAAUGUGUGGUGAUCUUUUUACAUAUUUAGUUGUAAUGUGCAACCUACCAAAUACUACUGUCGCACAAUUUUUUAAUCCUUUCUGUGGAGUUGACACGAAAGUUGGUCACAAUCUCCACUGAAAUGAUUGAAUAGUGUGUAGCAACAAUAUUGUCCAGAUUGCACAUCUGAUGUAUUUUAAUUAAUAAUUACUAAUUUUUAAAAGUACACAUCCUGACAAAUUUGGCCAAUGUGCAGAAAUAAUGCUUUUAUCAAAAGAGGACCUUCAUUUUGAAACAUGUUCCAUCUGUUUUAUUGUAAUAUAUUAGAAUUACAUGUAUUUAUGGUGAAUUUCUUUUAAUAUGUGUCUCAUGUAAAUGGAUAUAAAUAUCAUUUUUAAAAAAAUAUGUGGUACAUGGGGUCUUAGUGAAAACACUUGACAAAUACAUUGUCAGGGGUAAUAUUUGUAUCUUUUCAUUCCACUAUUUUUUACAAUUUUGAAUUGUAGCAAAGUCAAUUGGAUAUUGGAUAGCAAAAAGUUGUUAGAUACUUCAUCAUGUUCCUACUUUUUAAAAUGUAUAUAUACCACUAUUUAAAGUGAAUUCUUGCCUCUAAUGAUCAAGAGGGAAAAGAUUUAAACAUGAAACUUAAGCCAAAAAUGAACCUCUAAAGGCAAAACAGAACUCUCAUACACAUAUACAAACAUUCACACAGAAAUGCAUACAAAAUUAUAGAAAAGCACUGUGACUGCUCUUUUUUCUAAAACAAACAUGAAGAAAAACUGCAAAAAUCAGAACCAAUUACAGAAAGCAAGAGACAUUUUCCUCAAUGGCUACCAAGAAGCAAUUAUCAAGAAGCAGCUAGCUUUGCUAGUAUUUUUUUUUCUCAAAAUUUUUCACAUGCUAGCUAAAAUUGGCCUUAAACAAAAUGAGAUGAAAAUAAAUCUGAUUUUCAACAUUUCAGUUGUAUAACAAUACCCUCCAUGUCUUCAUUAUAAUAGGGUAUUGGAACAGCUGCUUGUCUAAUGUUAGGCUUUCAUUCAAAAGUGGCCUUGCUGAGACUUCACUGAAGUCAACUUUAUCAGAGGAAAUAACUAAAACACAAAACAGUUAUUAUAUACUGUAUAGAAGUUUAGAGGAGAAACUAUUACCUGCUGUGGUUUUAUUUAAUGGUGUUAUUGAUGUUUGCCCUUUGUUAUAUUGGAAGUUUCAAAGUAAGAAAUAUUUAAUAAUGUAAUUUACCUACUCUAUUUGCUAAUAAUCUUGCUGCCUGAUUGAUCUUAUUGUAGCUUAAGUCCUGUCCUUCAGCAGGCUUAUCUGCAAAACAUCUGCACGUGCAUUUUUUUUACUGCAUUUUAAAAAUUUUAAACAGAUUUCAGUUAAUUAAAUGGUGAUCAAUUUUUUUCCUCUCCCCUUGUCAAUAAAAUAAAAUCAGUGCU